CUGGCUGACAGAAGCGGAGCCUGAAGUUCCUUAAGCAGGUUGCUGUCUAGCUAAUGCCAAGCAGCCUGGAGAAAGGGGUUCCUUCCUGAGUGCCACCUCCAGCACAUGCAAAACUGAAAGAGCAGGGAAUGGAGCCCAAGGGAGCUGGUCUUCUUU
Molecule: long non-coding RNA, 156 nt
Organism: Urocitellus parryii (Arctic ground squirrel)
Lineage: Eukaryota; Metazoa; Chordata; Mammalia; Rodentia; Sciuridae
Source: RefSeq, a predicted model, not a curated record